GCUAGCGUAGCUUAAACAAAGUAUGGCAUUGAAGAUGUUAAAAUGGACUCUUGAAAGUCCCGCAGGCA
RNAcentral lists this transfer RNA (68 nucleotides) under Taaningichthys minimus. RNAcentral's name for it is "tRNA-Phe". The record is from RNAcentral. Lineage: Eukaryota; Metazoa; Chordata; Actinopteri; Myctophiformes; Myctophidae.